ACGCUGGCGGCGUGCCUAAUACAUGCAAGUAGAACGCUGAAGAGAGGAGCUUGCUCUUCUUGGAUGAGUUGCGAACGGGUGAGUAACGCGUAGGUAACCUGCCUUGUAGCGGGGGAUAACUAUUGGAAACGAUAGCUAAUACCGCAUAACAAUAGGUGACACAUGUCAUUUAUUUGAAAGGGGCAAUUGCUCCACUACAAGAUGGACCUGCGUUGUAUUAGCUAGUAGGUGAGGUAACGGCUCACCUAGGCGACGAUACAUAGCCGACCUGAGAGGGUGAUCGGCCACACUGGGACUGAGACACGGCCCAGACUCCUACGGGAGGCAGCAGUAGGGAAUCUUCGGCAAUGGGGGCAACCCUGACCGAGCAACGCCGCGUGAGUGAAGAAGGUUUUCGGAUCGUAAAGCUCUGUUGUAAGUCAAGAACGAGUGUGAGAGUGGAAAGUUCACACUGUGACGGUAGCAUACCAGAAAGGGACGGCUAACUACGUGCCAGCAGCCGCGGUAAUACGUAGGUCCCGAGCGUUGUCCGGAUUUAUUGGGCGUAAAGCGAGCGCAGGCGGUUUGAUAAGUCUGAAGUUAAAGGCUGUGGCUCAACCAUAGUUCGCUUUGGAAACUGUCAAACUUGAGUGCGGAAGGGGAGAGUGGAAUUCCAUGUGUAGCGGUGAAAUGCGUAGAUAUAUGGAGGAACACCGGUGGCGAAAGCGGCUCUCUGGUCUGUAACUGACGCUGAGGCUCGAAAGCGUGGGGAGCGAACAGGAUUAGAUACCCUGGUAGUCCACGCCGUAAACGAUGAGUGCUAGGUGUUGGAUCCUUUCCGGGAUUCAGUGCCGCAGCUAACGCAUUAAGCACUCCGCCUGGGGAGUACGACCGCAAGGUUGAAACUCAAAGGAAUUGACGGGGGCCCGCA
Molecule: ribosomal RNA, 910 nt
Filed under: uncultured bacterium
Lineage: Bacteria
Description: bacterial SSU rRNA
Rfam family: Bacterial small subunit ribosomal RNA
Source: RNAcentral